RNAcentral lists this long non-coding RNA (217 nucleotides) under Lathyrus oleraceus (garden pea). RNAcentral describes it as "Pisum sativum (pea) long non-coding RNA (PSAT_LNC001748)". The record is from RNAcentral. Lineage: Eukaryota; Viridiplantae; Streptophyta; Magnoliopsida; Fabales; Fabaceae.
GAAAUUUAAAAAUGGUGCAUUGUAUGGACUUUCUACCAUUACCAUUGGGUUUGAAAUGUGAUUUUGAGUGAAAAUAGUGAGCUACAUGUUACUGUUCACGCAUGCAUUUCAUGCAUGAGGUGAAAGUGCAAAUUUGUGCAUGCACCUUAUACUCCCUUAAUCCCAAUUAAACAUGACUUAGUGUUAAUUUCAGAAUCAUUAACAAGGCAUAUAAAAG